Molecule: ribosomal RNA, 459 nt
Filed under: uncultured bacterium
Lineage: Bacteria
Description: partial 16S ribosomal RNA
Rfam family: Bacterial small subunit ribosomal RNA
Source: RNAcentral
CCUACGGGUGGCAGCAGUGAGGAAUAUUGGUCAAUGGACGAGAGUCUGAACCAGCCAAGUAGCGUGAAGGAUGACUGCCCUAUGGGUUGUAAACUUCUUUUAUAUGGGAAUAAAAUGUUCCACGUGUGGGAUUUUGUAUGUACCAUAUGAAUAAGGAUCGGCUAACUCCGUGCCAGCAGCCGCGGUAAUACGGAGGAUCCGAGCGUUAUCCGGAUUUAUUGGGUUUAAAGGGGGCGUAGGGGGAUGGUAAAGUCGGUGUGAAAAUUUGGGGGUCAAACGUAAAAUUGCAGUUGAAACUGGCAGUCUUGAGUACAGUAGAGGUGUGCGGAAUGCGUGGUGUAGCGGUGAAAUGCUUAGAUAUCACGAAGAACUCCGAUUGCGAAGGCAGCACACUGGCCUGCAACUGACGCUGAGGCUCGAAAGUGUGGGUAUCGAACAGGAUUAGAUACCCGGGUAGUC